Molecule: ribosomal RNA, 268 nt
Filed under: uncultured bacterium
Lineage: Bacteria
Description: partial 16S ribosomal RNA
Source: RNAcentral
CUGCUGCCUUCCGUAGGAGUUUGGUCCGUGUCUCAGUACCAAUGUGGGGGGGUUGACCUCUCAGUCCCCCUAUGUAUCGUCGCCUUGGUGAGCCGUUACCUCACCAACUAGCUAAUACAACGCAUGUCCAUCUCUGACCACCUGAGUUUUCAACCACCGAAGAUGCCUCCGGUGAUGUUAUGGGGUAUUAGUACCAAUUUCUCGAUGUUAUCCCCCUGUCAAAGGUAGGUUACAUACGCGUUACGCACCCGUCCGCCGGUCGCCGGCA